CCUACGGGUGGCAGCAGUGAGGAAUAUUGGUCAAUGGGCGUAAGCCUGAACCAGCCAAGUCGCGUGAGGGAUGAAGGCUCUAUGGUUCGUAAACCUCUUUUAUAAGGGAAUAAAGUGCGUGACGCGUACCGCUUCGCAUGUACCUUAUGAAUAAGGAUCGGCUAACUCCGUGCCAGCAGCCGCGGUAAUACGGAGGAUCCGAGCGUUGUCCGGAUUUAUUGGGUUUAAAGGGUGCGUAGGCGGCCUGUUAAGUCAGCUGUGAAAGUGUGUGGCUCAACCAGAGAAUUGCAGUUGAAACUGGGGGGCUUGAGUAUGUUUGAGGCAGGCGGAAUGCGUGGUGUAGCGGUGAAAUGCAUAGAUAUGACGAAGAACGCCGAGUGCGAAGGCAGCCUGCUAAGCCAGGACUGACGCUGAUGCACGAAAGCGUGGGGAUCGAACAGGAUUAGAUACCCGAGUAGUC
This 460-nucleotide ribosomal RNA is filed under the name uncultured bacterium. RNAcentral's name for it is "partial 16S ribosomal RNA". It matches the Rfam family "Bacterial small subunit ribosomal RNA", at positions 338 to 795 of the family's 1533-position model. The record is from RNAcentral.